This 814-nucleotide long non-coding RNA is filed under the name Homo sapiens (human). RNAcentral describes it as "HSALNT0254139". The record is from RNAcentral. Lineage: Eukaryota; Metazoa; Chordata; Mammalia; Primates; Hominidae.
GCUGGGAUGACAGGUGUGAGUCACCGCAUCUGGGCUAGAUUUUGCCUUGAUGGGUGGGAGGUAGGCAGGAAAGAUGCAAAGAGGCCGUCCCCAGAGUGAACGGAUGGAUGAGGCCGUCCCCAGAGUGAACGGAUGGAUGAGGCCGUCCCCAGAGUGAACGGAUGGAUGAGGCCGUCCCCAGAGUGAACGGAUGGAUGAGGCCGUCCCCAGAGUGAACGGAUGGAUGAGGCCGUCCCCAGAGUGAACGGAUGGAUGAGGCCGUCCCCAGAGGGAACGGAUGGAUGAGGCCGUCCCCAGAGGGAACGGAUGGAUGAGGCCGUCCCCAGAGGGAACGGAUGGAUGAGGCCGUCCCCAGAGGGAACGGAUGGAUGAGGCCGUCCCCAGAGGGAACGGAUGGAUGAGGCCGUCCCCAGAGUGAAUGGAUGAGCACCCAGCCUGAGCCCGGGAAGGUGCUGAGGGUUAGCACAGGCCGCCUGCUGCUGCAGGAGUGAGAGGGGCCCACUCAGGGAAAGAGGGGUUCAGGGGGAGCAGCCAGGUGUGUACAGAUGGCUGUAGCCAUGUGGAGGCGCGCGUGGGGACCGGCAGGCAGGCAGGGAGUUGGGCUUUCUUCUGGGAGCAGUAGGGAGCCACGGUUGACCGUGGAGCAGGGGAGAGACCUGGUUUGAUCUUGGUCUUGACUUCCAAGCCCCUUGGUCCCUCCGACCUUGGAGGCUGCUGGAAGGAGAGGGCAUCUCAUUUACCAUCCUGGCUGCUUCAUGGGGAUUUGGGAGAUAAAAAGCAGCUCUUUCAGUUUAACUUUGGUUGUAGGAGUCAC